GAGGUGGGAGGAUCUCUUGAGUUCGGAAGUUCGAAGUUGCAGUGAGCUAUGAUCGUGCCACUGCACUCCAGCCUGAGUGACAGAGCGAGACCCUGUCUC
RNAcentral lists this microRNA precursor (99 nucleotides) under Propithecus coquereli (Coquerel's sifaka). Its description in RNAcentral is "miRNA (ENSPCOG00000000198.1)". Lineage: Eukaryota; Metazoa; Chordata; Mammalia; Primates; Indriidae. The record is from RNAcentral.